This 320-nucleotide ribosomal RNA is filed under the name uncultured eukaryote. RNAcentral describes it as "partial 18S ribosomal RNA". It matches the Rfam family "Eukaryotic small subunit ribosomal RNA", at positions 1470 to 1796 of the family's 1831-position model. The record is from RNAcentral.
CCCCUAGAUGUUCUGGGCCGCACGCGCGCUACACUGAACAGUUCAACAAGUCUUAACCUUGGCCGAUAGGUCUGGGUAAUCUUUGAACGCUGUUCGUGAUUGGGAUAGACCUUUGCAAUUAUGGGUCUUCAACGAGGAAUUCCUAGUAAACGCAAGUCAUCAGCUUGCAUUGAUUACGUCCCUGCCCUUUGUACACACCGCCCGUCGCACCUUCCGAUUGAAUGGUCCGGUGAAAUCUCGGGACGGCGGCUUGGUCGCUUGCGUCCGACUGCUGAAACUUGAUUAAACCAUAUCAUUUAGAGGAAGGAGAAGUCGUAACA